GCCUAGGGUUAGGGUAUGCUUCAGAGUGCCUCACACGUCCUUCUUCAGAACCCUAGAGCCGCCUCUCUUCUCCUCCAGAUCCGACGCCGCCUCUCUUCUCCUGAAGCCAUCCUUUGAAGAUCUCAUCUGUUCUUCAUUGUUUCUUUCAUCUAUUCUACUCUUUCUUGCUUUUGGAUACAAGAUCUCUUCUGUGACAUUUAGAGAAGUUUUCUUUGAACCCUUUUUGAUUAUUGAAUCGUUUAUUAUGUUGUUUCAAUUCAAUAUGAUUUCGUUUCUUUGCAUCAUGAGCGAGUAGUUCUUUUUGUUGGGUUUGAUGGGGUGAUUCAAAGGGGAUUCAUGGUUCAAAACUAGUUAGGUUGUUAGAUCUGAUUUUUUACUUUAUAUUUAUGAUUCCUCUUGGACUUCUUAUUCUUAAUGCAUGAUACUUGAUUGAUCACGAGUAUCUGAUCUCAGGGAGAGGGAAGCGCUAACCGCGUGACUUGAUCUCAGAUCUAGGGUUGCGAGAGCUUCGCGCCAUAACCUGCGAAAGUUGAGUUAUGGAGUGUCGUGGACCUAUCAAACUUGUUAAAACUGCUGAUCUCUAUGCGUCAUUGCCUGCGAAAGUUGAGUAACGGAGUAUAGAGGUUUAGACAUUUGGUUUCUCGAAAGAGGAUCAAGUGUACUACCAGUGCUUUGAGUCGGGAAUCUAGUAGACAACAUUUAUUAAUUAAUCUUCUAAUUUGAUUUGUAGAGAACCAUGAAAACCCUGAGAUAAUCCCUAAUGCCCAGCGCCUUUCUCUUAUUGAUUUACAACUUCAUUUUAUUUGCUUAUUUCGUUUUCAACGUGACAACAAACCAAAACCCCUUAAUCGUUUUUCUUAGUUGGAUUUCUUUUCAGGAUUCAUUCGCGUAGUUAUUCACUCUCUGUGGGAUCGAUCCUUAAAUACACAACCGAUUCACUGUGCACUUGUAGUAUCGUGUGUCAUCUAAGAACUUGUAUUAGCUUGUGUUGGAUUACAUAACUUUCUUCGUAAAGAAUGUCGGUCCGAUGAGUUUCUCCUGAAAAAACAGUGCAAACAACGAAGCAUACAAUGAGAAUAACGAGAAUAACAAUUUUGAGGAAAAUCGAGAUACGGAGACUCUCCAAUCGCAACAAAGAGAAUAUGCUAAUAAUUGGAGACACAAUAGCUGCUAAUAUGUGGGCAGAAGCUACAGGAGCAGGGAGUAUGCAAUGAAGAUCCUGAAAUUUUUAUUUUCAAUAUUUUGUGGAAUCUUACUUUUCAUCUGUUGGAUUAAUCUUUUGUUCUAAACAUUGUUAUUAAAUUAUUUCUUAGCAUGUUACUAGUUUUAAUUGAUGCAUCA
Arabidopsis lyrata subsp. lyrata is the source of this 1341-nucleotide long non-coding RNA. RefSeq lists it as uncharacterized. The transcript has 2 exons. Lineage: Eukaryota; Viridiplantae; Streptophyta; Magnoliopsida; Brassicales; Brassicaceae. The record is from RefSeq and is a predicted model, not a curated record.